RNAcentral lists this transfer RNA (64 nucleotides) under Gemmatimonadota bacterium. RNAcentral's name for it is "Gemmatimonadetes bacterium (soil metagenome) tRNA-Phe". The record is from RNAcentral. Lineage: Bacteria; Pseudomonadati; Gemmatimonadota.
CGGCGAACAAGCCUGCGGGAUGAAAAUCCGCGUGUCGCUGGUUCGAUUCCGGCCCUGACCACCA